Molecule: small nuclear RNA, 23 nt
Filed under: Arabidopsis thaliana (thale cress)
Lineage: Eukaryota; Viridiplantae; Streptophyta; Magnoliopsida; Brassicales; Brassicaceae
Description: snRNA_03304
Source: RNAcentral
UACGGUGGCGGCCUAAGCCCGGG